Molecule: long non-coding RNA, 852 nt
Organism: Meriones unguiculatus (Mongolian gerbil)
Lineage: Eukaryota; Metazoa; Chordata; Mammalia; Rodentia; Muridae
Exons: 2
Source: RefSeq, a predicted model, not a curated record
ACGGUGUGGCCGUGAGCUGAACCCUCGCCUCCCGGCCAGCACGGGGGGCUCCCGCGCACCGUUCCCACCCGUGGCGCUGACACCAGUGUCGGCCACCUCCGCGGCUUGUUCGCCAGGACCGACGGACACGCCCCGCAGACGCCGAGCCUCGGGGAGGCGACGCCCGCGAGCCUCAGGGUCCCGGGCCGGCCGGCCUGACUGCGGCGGGGCGGGACUUCCGGGCGCGCCUGCGCACGCCCCGCAGAGCCGCCGCCCUGGGGGCGGGGCCGAGGCGCUUUCGGGUCCCUGUGGGGUGGGGCCCUACGGGCGGCUCCCGGUUGGGAGCGCUGUGUGGGGUUCCGGUCGGGCCGCGGCCCUCCGAGCCGGUCCGCGCGUGGGGAGCAGCCCGGCCUCAGGCACCGGGGCAGAUGGCGGAAGCUCCCCGGGACCGGAGGCCCAGGUCCUUUACCGUGGGGUAUUUCCUUGCGGUUCGUCUCUGGCAGCUGCGUCGUACCCGCGGUGUGGCGUCUGGCGGCUGAGUGCGCCGGCGUCUUCCUCGGCCUCGGAUCCUGACGGCCUGACCCGCGGCCUCUCACAGGUGUAGGCAGCAGCUGCGACUUUUUCCCGGAGUGCAGCACGGUGCCACCCCUGAGGGCGCGGAUUUCAGACAGUUUUUUAAACAUUACAACGUUCUGGCCUGGAGAGAUGGUUCGGAGGUUAAGAGCACCGGCUGCUCUUCCAGAGGUCCUGAGUUCAAUUCCCAGCAACCACAUGGUGGCUCACAACCAUCUAUAAUGAGAUCUGGUGCCCUCUUCUGGCGUUCAGGCACACAUGCAGCAGAACACUUGUAUAUGUAAUAAAUAAAUCUUUUUU